Toxorhynchites rutilus septentrionalis is the source of this 107-nucleotide small nuclear RNA. Lineage: Eukaryota; Metazoa; Arthropoda; Insecta; Diptera; Culicidae. The record is from RefSeq and is a predicted model, not a curated record.
GUCCUAGCUUCGGCUGGACAUGUACUAAAAUUGGAACGAUACAGAGAAGAUUAGCAUGACCCCUGCGCAAGGAUGACACGCAAAAUCGUGAAAAAAAACCCUGUAAA